This 1532-nucleotide ribosomal RNA is filed under the name uncultured prokaryote. RNAcentral's name for it is "partial 16S ribosomal RNA". It matches the Rfam family "Bacterial small subunit ribosomal RNA". The record is from RNAcentral.
AGAGUUUGAUCCUGGCUCAGAUUGAACGCUGGCGGCAGGCCUAACACAUGCAAGUCGAGCGGUAGAGAGAAGCUUGCUUCUUAUUAGAGCGGCGGACGGGUGAGUAACGCGUGGGAAUCUACCCAGUAGCGGGGGAUAACUUGUGGAAACGCAAGCUAAUACCGCAUACGCCCUAAGGGGGAAAGGAGGGGAUCUUCGGACCUUACACUAUUGGAUGAGCCCGCGUCGGAUUAGCUAGUUGGUGGGGUAAAGGCCCACCAAGGCAACGACGAUCAGUAGCCGGCCUGAGAGGGCGAUCGGCCACACUGGAACUGAGACACGGCCCAGACUCCUACGGGAGGCAGCAGUGGGGAAUAUUGGACAAUGGGCGCAAGCCUGAUCCAGCCAUACCGCGUGUGUGAAGAAGGCUCUAGGGUUGUAAAGCACUUUAAGUUGGGAGGAAAGGGUGAUGAUUAAUACUCGUUAUCUGUGACGUUACCAACAGAAUAAGCACCGGCUAACUCCGUGCCAGCAGCCGCGGUAAUACGGAGGGUGCAAGCGUUAAUCGGAAUUACUGGGCGUAAAGCGCGCGUAGGUGGUUGUGUAAGUGGAAUGUGAAAGCCCUGGGCUCAACCUGGGAACUGCAUACCAAACUGCACAACUAGAGUACGAUAGAGGGGGGUAGAAUUUCAGGUGUAGCGGUGAAAUGCGUAGAGAUCUGAAGGAAUACCGGUGGCGAAGGCGGCCCCCUGGAUUGAUACUGACACUGAGGUGCGAAAGCGUGGGUAGCAAACAGGAUUAGAUACCCUGGUAGUCCACGCCGUAAACGAUGUCUACUAGCCGUUGGAAUCCUUAGAGGUUUAGUGGCGCAGCUAACGCAAUAAGUAGACCGCCUGGGGAGUACGGCCGCAAGGCUAAAACUCAAAUGAAUUGACGGGGGCCCGCACAAGCGGUGGAGCAUGUGGUUUAAUUCGACGCAACGCGAAGAACCUUACCUACUCUUGACAUCCUCGGAACUCGGCAGAGAUGCCUUGGUGCCUUCGGGAACCGAGUGACAGGUGCUGCAUGGCUGUCGUCAGCUCGUGUCGUGAGAUGUUGGGUUAAGUCCCGUAACGAGCGCAACCCUUGUCCUUAUUUGCCAGCACGUAAUGGUGGGAACUCUAAGGAGACUGCCGGUGACAAACCGGAGGAAGGUGGGGACGACGUCAAGUCAUCAUGCCCCUUAUGCCUAGGGCUACACACGUGCUACAAUGGACGGUACAGAGGGCAGCAAGACCGCGAGGGGGAGCCAAUCUCACAAAACCGGUCGUAGUCCGGAUCGGAGUCUGCAACUCGACUCCGUGAAGUUGGAAUCGCUAGUAAUCGUGGAUCAGAAUGCCACGGUGAAUACGUUCCCGGGCCUUGUACACACCGCCCGUCACACCAUGGGAGUGGAUUGCACCAGAAGUAGCUAGCUUAACCUUCGGGAGAGCGGUUACCACGGUGUGGUUCAUGACUGGGGUGAAGUCGUAACAAGGUAGCCCUAGGGGAACCUGGGGCUGGAUCACCUCCUU